GUAUUAUCUAUGAAGUUGCGCCAAAUGAGAGAUGUAAUUAUUAAAUAAAUAAAUUUCAUUUUUAGUGGAUAAACAUGUGUCCCUUCAGAAAUGCAUUUGAAAAUAUAUUUUAAAAAGUAGUCAUUUAAGGCGUUCAACUAGAAAACAAUCUUAAAGGUUUGUUGUUAAAUCUAACGAUUUAAAAUACCCAUGUACGUGUGAGAAGACUGCAUUCAUAAAAUGCAGUCGACUACGUAUCACUUUGGUCCCUAUGCUAUAUGCAUAUUUUAUGCAUAUCAAAUCGCAAAUAAAAAGAAAUCUAAAAGUUAUUCCACCUCAAAAGUUAAAUAAACUCACUUGAAUGCAUGCUAACUCAUGUAAGCAUACUUGCUAUAAAGGAAAAGAAAAGAAGUGAAAGAAGUAGGGAAGAUGUGUGAUGGUUAGUAGGAGAAAUUCUAGAUGAAAUGGAUAGAAGGAAUCAAGGAAAGGAAUAAAAACAUGGUAUAAGUAGGAAGUUAAAAGAAACUAAUUAAAAUUAUAAUGUUUAUGGUAAGCGGUCUUUAGCCGGAUUUCACUUGCAAUGGAAUGUAUAGCAUAUAAAAUAUGAUAAACAUUAUAUUGAAAGUAAAACACCAUUGCCCGGGUCUAACCACGAGGAGGUAACCGCUUCCGAAGACCCACGAGGGAUGUUCAUCCUGAAGAUGUCCACAUCCGAAUUAAAUUUAAAGGAAAUAAGAUAAUUUAUGUUAUCAUUGUCAUAUGUCAUAGGUUAACAUUAUAAAUAUAUGUUACCCUGGAAGUUAUCUCUGUGCAGGAGCAUUGAAAUAAUUACAUAAAAAUUAAAAUAAUACCAAAAGGAGACCGUUAUAACCUUAAAUUUUAUUAAUUGGGUGUAUUAUUUCCUAUAUACACAUGCGCAACGUUAGGAAAGUCAUAUAAACAACAUUGAAUAAAAGUAAUUUGAUAGAGGACAACGUCUCAUUUCAACGGUGAAUUUCGAAGGGGACGAUUGUUUACCACAUAUAUCUAAUAGAAAAAUG
Molecule: long non-coding RNA, 1019 nt
Organism: Polistes canadensis
Lineage: Eukaryota; Metazoa; Arthropoda; Insecta; Hymenoptera; Vespidae
Exons: 3
Source: RefSeq, a predicted model, not a curated record